UACAGAGGGCUCAAGCGUUGUUCGGAUUCAUUGGGCGUAAAGGGUGCGUAGGCGGUGGGGCAAGUCAGGUGUGAAAUCCCGGAGCUCAACUCCGGAACUGCACUUGAUACUGCUUUACUAGAGUACUGGAGAGGAGACUGGAAUUUACGGUGUAGCAGUGAAAUGCGUAGAUAUCGUAAGGAAGACCAGUGGCGAAGGCGAGUCUCUGGACAGUUACUGGCGCUGAGGCACGAAGGCCAGGGGAGCAAACGGG
This 253-nucleotide ribosomal RNA is filed under the name uncultured bacterium. Its description in RNAcentral is "partial 16S ribosomal RNA". It matches the Rfam family "Bacterial small subunit ribosomal RNA", at positions 524 to 776 of the family's 1533-position model. The record is from RNAcentral.